Molecule: ribosomal RNA, 563 nt
Filed under: Sporobolomyces sp. ST-115
Lineage: Eukaryota; Fungi; Basidiomycota; Microbotryomycetes; Sporidiobolales; Sporidiobolaceae
Description: eukaryotic LSU rRNA
Rfam family: Eukaryotic large subunit ribosomal RNA
Source: RNAcentral
AAACUAACAAGGAUUCCCCUAGUAGCGGCGAGCGAAGCGGGAAAAGCUCAAAUUUGUAAUCUGGCGUCUUCGACGUCCGAGUUGUAAUCUCGAGAAGUGUUUUCCGUGAUAGACCGCAUACAAGUCUCUUGGAACAGAGCGUCAUAGUGGUGAGAACCCAGUACACGAUGCGGAUGCCUAUUACUUUGUGAUACACUUUCGAAGAGUCGAGUUGUUUGGGAAUGCAGCUCAAAUUGGGUGGUAAAUUCCAUCUAAAGCUAAAUAUUGGCGAGAGACCGAUAGCGAACAAGUACCGUGAGGGAAAGAUGAAAAGCACUUUGGAAAGAGAGUUAACAGUACGUGAAAUUGUUGGAAGGGAAACACAUGCAGUGAUACUUGCUAUUCGGGGCAACUCGAUUGGCAGGCCCGCAUCAGUUUUCCGGGGCGGAAAAGCAUAGAGAGAAGGUAGCAGUUUCGGCUGUGUUAUAGCUCUUUAUUGGAUUCGCCCUGGGGGAUUGAGGAACGCAGCGUGCUUUUUGCAUGAGCUUCGGCUUAUCCACGCUUAGGAUGCGGGUUUAUGGCUG